GCCCUGGUGGAUCAAGGUAGAUCACCCCCAAAUUAUAAUAUCUAUCCAAGGUUUUAGAGGAGAAUGGAGGUUCGAAUCCUCCCUGGGGCA
Mycena leptocephala is the source of this 90-nucleotide non-coding RNA. NCBI's taxonomy places the organism in Eukaryota, Fungi, Basidiomycota, Agaricomycetes, Agaricales, Mycenaceae. The record is from the annotation of a GenBank genome assembly.